This is a non-coding RNA of Salmo salar (Atlantic salmon), 54 nucleotides long. NCBI's taxonomy places the organism in Eukaryota, Metazoa, Chordata, Actinopteri, Salmoniformes, Salmonidae. The record is from Rfam.
GUAUCCCAGUCCUGUAAGUCACUCUGGAUAAGAGUGUCUGCUAAAUUACAAAAA